UCUUUGUAUGUUCCCACAGCAACUGUUUUAACAUCAUAAACAAUUAUUCUUACUGUCACAUGAGUGGGAUAUAUGUAAUUUAAAAGUUGUGAAAUGAGUGAACUUAAAGAAAUUCCACUAGAUCAAGUAAUCAGAAAGGUUAAAACAUGGAUGAACGACGCAGAAUAUGAGGAAUCCAAUGAUAUGUAUAGCGUGUAUUUUACCGACCAUUAUGACACAACUAUAAAAAUACCAGAAAAAAAGACCAAUACACAAGGAGAAAAGAAUUGGUUGAUGAAAGAUUAUUAUGUUAUAUUCUUAGUACUACUCAUGUUCUUUGUUAUAUAUUUUAUUAGUACAUAAAUGUAUUUUUGAUGAACAGAAAUGGUUUUAUAUUAAUAAAUUCUUGUAUAAAA
This is a long non-coding RNA of Aethina tumida (small hive beetle), 395 nucleotides long. RefSeq lists it as uncharacterized. Lineage: Eukaryota; Metazoa; Arthropoda; Insecta; Coleoptera; Nitidulidae. The transcript is spliced from 2 exons. The record is from RefSeq and is a predicted model, not a curated record.